Thalassophryne amazonica is the source of this 1336-nucleotide long non-coding RNA. RefSeq lists it as uncharacterized. Lineage: Eukaryota; Metazoa; Chordata; Actinopteri; Batrachoidiformes; Batrachoididae. The record is from RefSeq and is a predicted model, not a curated record. The transcript has 3 exons.
AAUGUAAUGAUAUGAGAUCAGCUUUACAGACGGGUAAACACCUGAAAGAUCCUUGGAGAUUGUCCCAUAAAGGGACAAGUAAGACAACUACAAAUAUUUUUUUUUAAAGUUAACUUUGUCAAUGACCACAAACAGGAAUUCUUCUGUUUGUCAAAAACUGCAAAAUGAUGCUCUCCUGAUGCAGUUUGAGCAGCAAAAAUAGAAAAUAAAAUAAUGUGGACCCAUUGUUGAAAUAAAAUUGAACCCGUUUUGUGCACAUUUUAAAAUAGCCAUAUUUAGUGCCACCAACUGCUGCGGAUGGCUAUGAUAUGCAAAAGUCUCCAUCCUGAGCAUAACAUGACCCCUUUUUCUCCCAGAUGUUUUUCCAGGUGAAUACACAACACUGUAUAUUCGGACCAAUAUGGUAGUUAACCUGCUGAUCUAUUGGUGUCUUAUGUAUAUGUUUUCCCCACAAAAUACUUUAUUUAGAGAUUUAUUUAUUUAUUUAUUUACAAAAAAGAUGACCUAUUUAUAAACUGUAACCACAUCUUGUUGAGGUGAACAGUGUGGAAUCUCGAUCAAGCAGUGUGGUUUUAAUGUGCAAUACAGGACAGAAUAGAUGUUAUUUCAUUAGAUGAGAGGUCACUUGAUAUCUGCUUCAGUGUUUGUUGUGAGCCUCUGCCAAUGUACAUUUCGUUGCCGCAUUUGGUUGGAGGAGAUAAGGAAUGUAACCAGCAUGUUUACAUAAAGGCAGUGUGGAACGUUGCCAGUAUAACUAUCAGUCUUUAGUUGUCAGAAGUGAAAGAGGAGAAUUUAAUGGAUGUAGGUCAGCGGAUGGAGCACAUGGGUGCAUUUUGCUCAACAACCACCAGGUGGGACCACAUGGCACACACAGUCACACACGCUGUACAAGUCUGCUGAACUAAUCUUCAGUUAGAAAUGUAUCAUAGAAGGUACAAAACUGUGGCAACACCUGUGUUUAUAUACUGAGAUUUGUCCCAGCAAAUGUGACCCAGGUCUGGCUUCGCAACCCAAACAAAAACUGUCUAAUGUCUGCACAAUGUUCCAUGUUUAGAUAAAGUUUAUACUAACUGUCUGACUUCAGUCUUUGCUGUUGUGUAACCAGAUUUGAUGACCCCCAUUUAGCCUCCCCUCCUUAAUCCCAGCGUGUCUGUCUGUUUUCUUCAUAUUGCUCUGCAGAUGCAUGACGAAUCCUUCUGUAUGUGUUAGCAGCAUGGUCUACUGUGAUGGACACCUGUAGGAACUUUUGUAUCCACUUCAUUCCCACAGGUUAAUUCCCCAACAUCAGAGGUGUUGUCAAAAAUAAAAUGGAGGACACAUCAGAGACACACACAUA